This 224-nucleotide long non-coding RNA is filed under the name Pelobates cultripes (western spadefoot toad). Lineage: Eukaryota; Metazoa; Chordata; Amphibia; Anura; Pelobatidae. The record is from RNAcentral.
GUGCGCACCAGCAGUAGGUGCAGUCAGAUUAUAGCCUCUCCCUCGUGGUUCCGGUGCUCAGUUAGUGAGUCAGAGCACAGGCUCAGAGAUUCUCAGCCUGCGCUCUGACAACAUUGAAAGUCAGAGCCGUGAAGGAGCGGGUAUGGCAAAGAGCUACUGAUUAGCAUAACAUCAAUAUCCGUUAUAAAACCAGGAAAAGGUGGACACCAUUGCACUGAUUUGGU